RNAcentral lists this transfer RNA (70 nucleotides) under Ictidomys tridecemlineatus (thirteen-lined ground squirrel). RNAcentral's name for it is "Spermophilus tridecemlineatus (thirteen-lined ground squirrel) tRNA". It matches the Rfam family "tRNA". Rfam says of the family: Transfer RNA (tRNA) molecules are approximately 80 nucleotides in length. Their secondary structure includes four short double-helical elements and three loops (D, anti-codon, and T loops). Further hydrogen bonds mediate the characteristic L-shaped molecular structure. tRNAs have two regions of fundamental functional importance: the anti-codon, which is responsible for specific mRNA codon recognition, and the 3' end, to which the tRNAs corresponding amino acid is attached (by aminoacyl-tRNA synthetases). tRNAs cope with the degeneracy of the genetic code in two manners: having more than one tRNA (with a specific anti-codon) for a particular amino acid; and 'wobble' base-pairing, i.e. permitting non-standard base-pairing at the 3rd anti-codon position. The record is from Rfam by way of RNAcentral. Lineage: Eukaryota; Metazoa; Chordata; Mammalia; Rodentia; Sciuridae.
GGGCAUAUAGCUCAGUGAUAGAGUGCUUGUCUAGUAUGUAUGAGCCAUGGGUUCAGUCCCAUUACCCUCC